RNAcentral lists this transfer RNA (72 nucleotides) under Candidatus Woesebacteria bacterium GWB1_43_5. RNAcentral's name for it is "tRNA-Glu". It matches the Rfam family "tRNA". Rfam says of the family: Transfer RNA (tRNA) molecules are approximately 80 nucleotides in length. Their secondary structure includes four short double-helical elements and three loops (D, anti-codon, and T loops). The record is from RNAcentral. Lineage: Bacteria; Candidatus Woeseibacteriota.
GGCCCCAUCGUCUAGCGGUUAGGACACCGGGCUUUCAUCUCGGUAACCGGGGUUCGAUUCCCCGUGGGGUCA